RNAcentral lists this ribosomal RNA (468 nucleotides) under uncultured bacterium. Its description in RNAcentral is "partial 16S ribosomal RNA". It matches the Rfam family "Bacterial small subunit ribosomal RNA", at positions 28 to 507 of the family's 1533-position model. The record is from RNAcentral.
GACGAACGCUGGCGGCGUGCUUAACACAUGCAAGUCGAACGGAAAGGCCCUGCGUGUUUGGUGUGCUGGAUUGGCGAACGGGUGAGGGACACGUGAGUAACCGACCCUUGACUUUGGGAGAACUUCAGGAAACUAGGGCUAAGACCGUAUAGGAGCUCCUGCUGCAGUGUAGGGGGUGGAAAUUUUCGGCGGGUGGGGAUGGACGCGCGGAUGAUCAGCUUGUUGGUUGGGUAGUGGCUGACCAAGGCUUUGAAGGGUAGCCGGCCUGAGAGGGUGAACGGGCACAUUGGGACUGCGAUAGGCACCAGACUCCUAUGGGAGGCAGCAGUGGCGAAUCUUGCCCAAUGGGAGGACGCCUGAUGAAGAAACGUUGCGUGCGGGAUGACGGUCUUCGGGUUGAAAAAAGCUUCAGCCUGUGACGACGCGUGACUGACGGUAAUGGGUAAAGAAGCACCGGCUAACUACGUG